Molecule: ribosomal RNA, 205 nt
Filed under: uncultured bacterium
Lineage: Bacteria
Description: partial 16S ribosomal RNA
Rfam family: Bacterial small subunit ribosomal RNA
Source: RNAcentral
UACGAAGGGGCUAGCGUUGCUCGGAAUUACUGGGUCGUAAAGGGAGCGUAGGCGGACAUUUAAGUCAAGGGGUGAAAUCCCAGAGCUCAACUCUGGAACUGCCUUUGAUACUGGGUGUCUUGAGUGUGAGAGAGGUAUGUGGAACUCCGAGUGUAGAGGUGAAAUUCGUAGAUAUUCGGAAGAACACCCGUGGUCGAAGGCGGUU